Fukomys damarensis (Damara mole-rat) is the source of this 4404-nucleotide long non-coding RNA. The record is from Ensembl. NCBI's taxonomy places the organism in Eukaryota, Metazoa, Chordata, Mammalia, Rodentia, Bathyergidae.
GGCGCGCUGCAGGGAUUUUCCACUCCUCUGGGCCCAGGCUGAGUGCGGGUCCCCUGCUCGCCAGCUCACCGCCCCGAGCUGCGCGGCGUGCGGCCCUUCCAGAUGGCGGUGGCGCAGAAGCUGCUGUCUCACGUGUGCUCCAUCGCGGACUCCAGCGCCCAGAACCUGGACCUGGGCUCCUUCCCCCUGUGGUCCCUGUGGGCGCGCUGCAGGGAUUUUCCACUCCUCUGGGCCCAGGCUGAGUGCGGGUCCCCUGCUCGCCAGCUCACCGCCCCGAGCUGCGCGGCGUGCGGCCCUUCCAGAUGGCGGUGGCGCAGAAGCUGCUGUCUCACGUGUGCUCCAUCGCGGACUCCAGCGCCCAGAACCUGGACCUGGGCUCCUUCGAGAAGGUGGACUUCCUGAUCUGCAUCCCGCCCUCGGAGGUCGCCUUCCAGCAGACCGUGGGCCGCGUGUGGCACUCAGGUAGGGGCGUGGGGGGACAGGGACACGGGCAGAACCUUGGCAGAUGUCAGCACCCUUCUUGGCGGUGGAACUCACUAUGGAGCCCAGGCUGGCCUCAAACUCCUGGAGAUCCUCCUGCCUCAGCCUCCCCAGUGCUGGGAUGACAGGCUAGCGCCCCCAUGCCCAGCUUUGCUUUUAUUUUGUAGACUGUGAUGCUGGUCUCAGACAUGGAUUUGCCCAGGGCUUUGGGACCUGGUGAAGGGAGAAUGAGACAGAAACCCUCACUGCGUCCCUCGGGCCAGGACCCACCUGUGAUGUGGCUUCUACCUGAUGUCUGUCUGGGGAGAUUGCGUGUAAAUGUGGAAUACACAGGCAGCUGGUGUCUUAACACUAGGGAGUUACUCUCACUGGGCUGGUAGCACGUGCUUAGAAUCCCAGCACUCUGGGAAGCUGAGGCAGGAGGAUCUCAAUUCGAGCCCAGCCUGGCCAACCUAGCAAGACUUUGUGUCUAAAUAAAAAAUGCCAAGGGCUGGGGAUGUAGCUCAGCGCAAAGGCCCUGGUUCAGUCUCCCGAAGUCUCUUCAGUGCUGUGACAAAGGGACCCGAGGUGGCUUUGCGUGGCCGUGCAGCCUUCCCUUCCCUCCAGCCUUUCCUGCUUUUCAGUCCCUGGGGUGCACACAGCCAGGCCUUGGGGGGGGGGGCGCGCCCCCGCCCCGACGCUGCGUUGUGUCCCCGCGUGGCAGGGGUGCUGCGGGAUCUGGGCCUGGAGCCAGAGCCAGGGAGCAGGCAGAGGGCGGAGCGGCACGUGCUGAAGCUGGACGCCGAGGCGCACGCCAGGUUCCAGGCGUUCCUGCACAGCUCCCUCCAGAACCCGCACACGCUCUUCCUGCUCAUCCACGACCAUGCGCACUGGGACCUCCAGAGUGGCGCCAUCCACAAUCUCUACUCCCAAAGCGACCCAUCUGUGGGGCUGGUGGACAGACUGCUCAACUGCAGGGGGGUGAAGGAGGCCCCCAACAUCGUGACGCUCCAUGUGACAUCCUUUCCAUACGCGCUGCAGACCCAGCACACCCUCGUCAGCCCCUACAAUGAAAUCCACUGGCCGGGGCCCGACAGUGACGGCACAGACCUAUACCCUGAAAACAAGAAGUACUUCGGGCUGGCCGAGUUCAUUGAGUCCACCGUCUCGGGACACAGCCUCCCCCUGCUCAGAUAUGACAGCUCCUUCGAGGCCAUGGUCACCGCGCUGGGAAAAAGGUACACGUGUCCGUCCCAGUCCUACAAGUGCUCAGCGGCUUCCACUGCAGGUGCAGCCUGCCGGGACCCCAGCAUGGGGUCACUGCGCCUCCCCGGGGACCCUGGCUUCUGUCUUCUGUGCGAAUCCUGUAGGGGCAGCGAUACCUUUCUCGCGAUGCUGACCAGGACAUCUUAUUUCAUUUUCAGAGGCAGAGCCUCCCUAUGCAGCCCAGGCUGGCCUCAAACUCACCAGGCUCCUCCUGCCUCAGCCUCCUGAGUGCUAGGGUCACAGGUGUGCACGCAGCUCACAGAAUUUUAAAGAUGAGCCUGGGCAGACUUCUACUGGAAUAUUUCUGGCACAUGGACUUGCGACCCCGCGGAGGGCAGGGGAUGAGAGCUCUAGAAAAGGAUCACGGCUGCGAGGCCUGUGAUCGCAGUGGCUUCAUUUUGAAUUUCCGGCGGGGAUAAUCGUCAGGUGCUCUGUUGGAGCUGUUCUUCCCGCUUCACCACCUCUCUGAGCCAGGGUCUGUGGUUCUCGUUUUGCAAAUGAAGAAAGUAAGGCUCAGAGAGUCGCUGUAACUUUCUCAGGCCAAAGGUUAGCAGGUGCUGAGCUGAGUGACAACCAACAGUUGGUCUAACUUCACAGCCAGCUCUGCUUCUCUCUCUCUCUCUCUCUCUCUCUCUGUCUGUCUCUCUCUCUCUCCCUCGUUUCUCUUUCUUUCUGCUUUCAAGAUAGGGUCUCACUUUGUAAUUCAGGUUAACUUUGAACUCACUGUGUAGCCCAGGCUGACCUCGAACUCACAGAGAUCCUCCUGCUUCAGCCUCCUCCUGCAUGCUGAGAUUACAGGUGUGCACCAACACACCUGUUGAUAUUUUUCUUAGUUUGUAUUAGGCCACGUUUGCAGCACAUAAUGAUUGUGUUUGCUGUGGGGAGCUGGCACAUGUACAUGACACAUUGUUAUUCUUUGUAUGUCCCCUUUCCCCCUCCAUGUGUUGGUCUCCUUUCCUUUUGCAAAAAGUCUGUCUCCCUGUUUCCUAUCAUCUUUCUUUUAUUUUGCUCUUUAUUUAUACUUUGGGCUUCUCAUAUGAGAGCUAAUGGAGAUUUUUUCACCAUUGAGCUAAGUCCCAAGCCCUUCUCAUAUGAGAGAAAUCAUGUAUUUAAGCUUGAGUGGGGCUGGAGAUUUAGCUCCGUGGUUCUGCUGCCUGCCUCCCAAGCACAAGGACCCGAGUUUGAUCCCCGUACCAAAAAAAAAAAAAAAAAAAAAAAAGCUUGAGUGCCUGAUUUAUUUCACUUAACAUUAUGGUCUCAAGGUGCAUCCAUUUUCCCACAAUGCUUCAAGUGUAUCCUUCUUUAUAGCAGUAUAGUACUCCACAAUGUGUUCUGUAUUUCCUUUAUCUGCCCAUGUGCUGAGGGACACAAGUUGUUUCCAGGAUUUAGCUGUUGUGAGUUGUGUGCUGGGAACUUGGUGUGCAUGAGAGACCUGGCUUUACAGAGGAGGAGGCUGGCGGCUGAGAGCUGACCACCCCGUGUCUUGCUCUUGCUGUCCUCGAAAGCUGACUGCUGCCUCUCACCGCCGGGGCUGAGCUUGCUGUCUCCCCAGCUGUGUGCUGCUUUGCUUACACACCCGCGUCUGUCGGGCCAAAGGGCUCCAGGGGUCAAGGGAGUUUGCAGAGCAGGACAGAAGGAUGGGUUUCUUCAGGCCCUUGGUGCCCAGGCGCGAGGCUCCACAAGGCCAGGGAGGCAGGCGCUUGGGACCGCCCUUCCCCAGAAUACCCCGCAGGAACAGGCACUCUUGGUCCUGUUGGGCCCUGUGAUGCUGAGGAUGGGAACCAGGCCCCUGCCUCUGCCCCACUUCCGCUGGAAUCCCCUGGGGCUCUGUGUGUUGUGGAUGCUGGCUUGGUACGAGCUUGGGCCUCAGGGGUCCUCAGUGCCACCCUGUGCACUCUGGACUCUGUGGAUGAAGACGUGAGGCCCAACCCUGGGCUCAGACCACACUGAGCCCCAAAGCCUCACUGAGCAGCACUCACGUCUGUGCUACAGGGAUUGAAACCAGGGCUUCUCACUCAGCUGCAUCCUUUCAUUUUGUUCUUGUUUUGAGACAGAGUCUCGCUGAGGUGUUAAAUUGCUUAGGAUGGACUCAAACUUGAGACCCUCCUGCCUCAGCCUCCCAGAGAGCUGGAAUGGCAGGCGUGUGCCACCGCUCCUGUCUUGUUCAAGGUUUUUACCAUGAGCAAAUGGUCUCGCCUGCCCAGACCUCGCACCCUCCUGUAGAUCGGGGCCUCUGGGUCUAGAGCUAAUAUGUCUACGCACACACGUUAAUGGGUGCACGCCGGGAGGCAGGGCUCUGAUACCGUUCUUCCUGGGUUCAAGUCCUGGGUCUGUCACUCAUCACCGUCAGUGCUCAGUGAGGGUUACAGUACCUCAUGGGGAUUAACGAGGGUUACAGGAACUCACGUCUGAAAAGCAUGGAAACAUGCGGGACACGUUAAGAAUCUCUGUGGCCUUCCACUGACCCCUGCAACCUUCCCUCUGGUUCUCCCUCUGCUAAAACAGAACAGGCUGAGCGCAGUACCGCACGCCAGUCAACCCAGCUCUCUGGGAGGCUGAGGCAGGAGGAUCCCAUGGUGGAGCCCAGCCCGGGUGACUUGGCAAGACCCAUCCUCGCCACGGCUGUGACUGGUGAGCUGCGUGUCCCGGCCCCGGCUCACGCUGCUGCCCGCCCGCAGG